This is a non-coding RNA of Leptidea sinapis, 74 nucleotides long. Lineage: Eukaryota; Metazoa; Arthropoda; Insecta; Lepidoptera; Pieridae. The record is from the annotation of a RefSeq genome assembly.
GAACGGUUGGCUCAGUUGGAAAGACCACUCGUACCAAACGCGAGAGGUCGCGGGUUCGAGUCCCGCAUCGUUCA